GAUGAACGCUGACAGAAUGCUUAACACAUGCAAGUCGAUGGGGAAGUGGUGCUUGCACCAUGGCAACCAUGGCGGACGGGUGAGUAACGCGUAAGGGACUUACCUGCAGGACUGGGAUAACAGGGGGAAACUCCUGACAAGACCGGAUAAUGUCAUGGAGCUGCAUGGCUUUAUGAUGAAAGGAGACGCCUGCGGAGAGCCUUGCGUCCUAUUAGCUAGUUGGUGAGGUAAUGGCUCACCAAGGCGAAGAUAGGUAGCCGGCCUGAGAGGGUGGACGGCCACAAGGGGACUGAGAUACGGCCCUUACUCCUACGGGAGGCAGCAGUGGGGAAUAGUGGACAAUGGGGGCAACCCUGAUCCAGCAAUUCUGUGUGCACGAAGAAGGUUUUCGGAUUGUAAAGUGCUUUCAGCAGGGAAGAAGUAAGUGACGGUACCUGCAGAAGAAGCGACGGCUAAAUACGUG
RNAcentral lists this ribosomal RNA (463 nucleotides) under uncultured bacterium. Its description in RNAcentral is "partial 16S ribosomal RNA". It matches the Rfam family "Bacterial small subunit ribosomal RNA", at positions 28 to 507 of the family's 1533-position model. The record is from RNAcentral.